This 494-nucleotide ribosomal RNA is filed under the name uncultured bacterium. RNAcentral's name for it is "bacterial SSU rRNA". It matches the Rfam family "Bacterial small subunit ribosomal RNA", at positions 29 to 517 of the family's 1533-position model. The record is from RNAcentral.
AUUGAACGCUGGCGGCGUGCCUAACACAUGCAAGUCGAGCGGUAACAGGUGUAGCAAUACAUGCUGACGAGCGGCGGACGGGUGAGUAACGCUUGGGAAUCUGCCUGUUAGUGGGGGACAACCCGGGAAACUCGGGCUAAUACCGCAUACGCACUACGGUGGAAAGCCGGGGACCGCAAGGCCUGGCGCUAACAGAUGAGCCCAAGUCGGAUUAGCUAGUUGGUAGGGUAACGGCCUACCAAGGCGACGAUCCGUAACUGGUCUGAGAGGACGACCAGUCACACCGGAACUGAGACACGGUCCGGACUCCUACGGGAGGCAGCAGUGGGGAAUAUUGGACAAUGGGCGAAAGCCUGAUCCAGCGACGCCGCGUGGGUGAAGAAGGCCUGCGGGUUGUAAAGCCCUUUCGGUGGGGAAGAAAAGCCUCGAGUUAACACCUCGGGUCUUGACGUAACCCAUAGAAGAAGCACCGGCUAACUCUGUGCCAGCCGCCG